GGAAUUUUGGACAAUGGGGGCAACCCUGAUCCAGCCAUGCCGCGUGCGGGAAGAAGGCCUUCGGGUUGUAAACCGCUUUUAGCCGGAAAGAAAAGGCGCUCCCCAAUCCGGGGCGUUCUUGACGGUACCGGCGGAAUAAGCACCGGCUAACUCCGUGCCAGCAGCCGCGGUAAUACGUAGGGUGCGAGCGUUAAUCGGAAUUACUGGGCGUAAAGCGUGCGCAGGCGGUUCGUUGUGUCUGAUGUGAAAGCCCCGGGCUCAACCUGGGAACUGCAUUGGAAACUGGCGGACUUGAGUGUGGCAGAGGGGGGUGGAAUUCCGCGUGUAGCAGUGAAAUGCGUAGAGAUGCGGAGGAACACCGAUGGCGAAGGCAGCCCCCUGGGCCAACACUGACGCUCAGGCACGAAAGCGUGGGGAGCAAAC
This 423-nucleotide ribosomal RNA is filed under the name uncultured bacterium. RNAcentral's name for it is "bacterial SSU rRNA". It matches the Rfam family "Bacterial small subunit ribosomal RNA", at positions 358 to 773 of the family's 1533-position model. The record is from RNAcentral.